AGAAUCGAGUCGGAUUCUCAUUUUGGAGGAACUUCGGCAGACACUAUAUUGCAGCCUGCAGUGAAGACGAAAGUAAUUCAGUUGCUAGCAAUUGAAGAAGAAGCAGAACGGGCAAGUCGUCCUGGAAAUCAAACUUUCUGCUCGGUGACUACAGAAAUACUGGCCGUAACACGAUCAGUGACUGUCGCAAUAUAAUCGAUUGUUGGAAGCUAAGUUGUUGAUCCGAGAAGCUCCCUUGUUGUAAUCUCGGUUUAAAGUUAAUCAAACGAAAGAAAUUGUCACUUAUGUAAAAAUGUGAAAUAUUCCAAAUAAAAAAACAAGAGACAUACACACUAA
Long non-coding RNA from Sitodiplosis mosellana (orange wheat blossom midge), 336 nucleotides. RefSeq lists it as uncharacterized. The record is from RefSeq and is a predicted model, not a curated record. The transcript is spliced from 2 exons. NCBI's taxonomy places the organism in Eukaryota, Metazoa, Arthropoda, Insecta, Diptera, Cecidomyiidae.